GGGAAGGUGGCUCAGUGGUAGAGUGCUUGCCUUGCAUGCAUGAGGCCAUGGGUUUUAUUUCCCA
Molecule: transfer RNA, 64 nt
Filed under: Dipodomys ordii (Ord's kangaroo rat)
Lineage: Eukaryota; Metazoa; Chordata; Mammalia; Rodentia; Heteromyidae
Rfam family: tRNA
About the family: Transfer RNA (tRNA) molecules are approximately 80 nucleotides in length. Their secondary structure includes four short double-helical elements and three loops (D, anti-codon, and T loops).
Source: Rfam by way of RNAcentral